AGAUUUACAGCUUGACCAUUUAUUUACUGAUAAACACUACUUCACCUAAGAGACUUGAGUAUCCAGUUCUUCAUUGACCUUCAGCAUUCAGUUGUUUGUCUUCACCUUUUCAGGCUAAAACCUGAGAAGCCAUCACCAUGUUGUUGUUUCACACCAGAGUUUCCUGUGUCCAGCAUCUUCAAGACAGACUAAGCUAACUUUUCAUAUCUUUUGCACAUUAUAUUUAGGUUAGGUUAGGAGUAGGUUAGGUUUAUAGUAGAGUAUUUAGUUUGUAUAGUUUAGCUUUUUAUGCUAGUCUAGGGACAGUUAAAUUAGCAAAUUAAUUUAGUUCAAAUCACUACAGGCUAUUGUAUAUUGCAGAACCAAGUGAGACGAGGAAGACCACUGCUUCCAAGAUGCCGCUCAGAAAGUGCGUUGGACAAGUCUCGACCUUGCAGAUCCUGCCCCACUUAGCCCAACCACUUCCGACCAUGGGGUACCUCAAAGACCUCCGUCAACCAGCCGGCUGUGGAUGAUGGAUAACGCACCCACAACUCCUUCUCCAGUCUACAAGGUUCUGAAAAUACAGACACCCCCACAGUCCAAGAACAGCUGGAUGACCUCUGGACCCACUUGCCCCCGUUCACCAGUUGAAAAGAUAAGCUUUUUUAAAAAAUCUUCAAUUGUUAAUUCUGCACAAAGUGAUACACAAAACGUUGUAUGUAUUCCAUUUCAACAAACACAAACAUGAAAUGUAUAUUUAAAUACAUGACUUAAAGCAAAUCACACUAAACAUCAUCUUCUUUU
Molecule: long non-coding RNA, 786 nt
Organism: Centropristis striata (black sea bass)
Lineage: Eukaryota; Metazoa; Chordata; Actinopteri; Perciformes; Serranidae
Exons: 5
Source: RefSeq, a predicted model, not a curated record